UACGAAGGGGGCUAGCGUUGUUCGGAAUCACUGGGCGUAAAGCGCACGUAGGCGGAUUGUUAAGUCGGGGGUGAAAUCCUGAGGCUCAACCUCAGAACUGCCUUCGAUACUGGCAAUCUCGAGUCCGGAAGAGGUUGGUGGAACAGCUAGUGUAGAGGUGAAAUUCGUAGAUAUUAGCUAGAACACCAGUGGCGAAGGCGGCCAACUGGUCCGGUACUGACGCUGAGGUGCGAAAGCGUGGGGAGCAAACGGG
RNAcentral lists this ribosomal RNA (253 nucleotides) under uncultured bacterium. RNAcentral's name for it is "partial 16S ribosomal RNA". It matches the Rfam family "Bacterial small subunit ribosomal RNA", at positions 524 to 776 of the family's 1533-position model. The record is from RNAcentral.